AUGACGCGGUCCUAUUUGUGGACGCCCGCAGUGAUGCUUCUGGCUGCGUUUGUGGAGUGCGAGUCUUUGACGGCCUGUCGUGCCCGCCGCCCACGCCUGAGUCACUGCGCUUGCUCCUGGGUCUGGGGUUCAUCCACGGCCUCUCCCUCUUCCUGGCUCGAGCCGACUCAGCUCUCAGGCUUCCUGCAGGAGAGCGAGGCGACCGUCGGGCCGGGCCGGGCCGGGAGCAUGGGCCACCGAGGACAAGGCAGGCACACAAUGCAUGUGUGCUGCAGGGCUUCACGGACUCAGCGGAGCCCGACAGGCCUUUGCAGGUCCAGGGCUUCAACUGGACCUUGAGCCAAGUCGCAUGCCCCAGUUAUCUGAAUGACGCAAGUGAAACAGGAUGAUCCUUCGCUUGUGUCGCUGACAGAAGACACACCCAGCUGCUGUUGUGCUGUUGUGUGCAGCUCCCAUGCUUUAUCACUAACACCUAAUUACUGUCCAGCUUUUGUACCGUCGCAUGUUGGACUCAUCAGUGAAGAACAAAGCAGCUGUGACACUGGUGCCGAGUUUCAGGAAGCGAGAAAGCAAAAGCUAAACAGGAACAACUGAAUAGUGCUCACACAAUGGAAAUGUGAGUGUAGUGAAGUGGCUGCGUACGUUGGGCACAUAGCAGCUCUGCCGUCCCAAAGUAAUAAUAGGUUCCCCAGAGUAAUUAUAGCUUAAAAUUUAGAAACCAGAACCAGAAAAUAUCACAGUUUGCGGUUCCAAAGUCACUCUUCACUUAUUAAUGUCUUUUUCUCAGCAGUUGGAAAAUAUUUUUUUACUCUCAAAUUUAUUGAGCUCUUGGUCCGCGAGAAUGUGACCACUGCAAAUGAGUUUUAAAUGAGGUUUCUCACCAAAGCCCAAAGAAACGGACGGGGCAGAACGACGCAGCAGUUCACCUUCCAACGUAUGGUUUUAUCUGAGUCUCUUUCAUCUUCUGUGUGUUUCACCAGUCAGGUUCUCAUUCUGGCUCCUUGCCUUCAGUCCAUUCAAUAAAUUGUGUCACACCACUUGUUGUCA
RNAcentral lists this long non-coding RNA (1047 nucleotides) under Betta splendens (Siamese fighting fish). RNAcentral describes it as "lncRNA (ENSBSLG00000019172.1)". Lineage: Eukaryota; Metazoa; Chordata; Actinopteri; Anabantiformes; Osphronemidae. The record is from RNAcentral.